This 59-nucleotide ribosomal RNA is filed under the name Protohydnum sucinum. Its description in RNAcentral is "Ductifera sucina partial 18S ribosomal RNA". The record is from RNAcentral. Lineage: Eukaryota; Fungi; Basidiomycota; Agaricomycetes; Auriculariales; Exidiaceae.
UUGAGAGAGCGGGUAUGAGUACUCUACGUUCCGUAGGUGAACCUGCGGAAGGAUCAUUA